UCUGCUGCUAGAUUACUGCAAGUGUGGCAGUGGUGUUUUAUGUGCCUCAUAGGUGGCAGAGGAGAGAGAGGCUAUGUCGAAGCUCAGUGUUGUGACCUGAGAACAUCUGAAUGAUAAAGAGUAUAACACA
Small nucleolar RNA from Arvicanthis niloticus (Nile rat), 130 nucleotides. RefSeq annotates it as small nucleolar RNA SNORA17. NCBI's taxonomy places the organism in Eukaryota, Metazoa, Chordata, Mammalia, Rodentia, Muridae. The record is from RefSeq and is a predicted model, not a curated record.